RNAcentral lists this transfer RNA (76 nucleotides) under bacterium. Its description in RNAcentral is "tRNA-Lys". It matches the Rfam family "tRNA". From Rfam's summary of the family: Transfer RNA (tRNA) molecules are approximately 80 nucleotides in length. Their secondary structure includes four short double-helical elements and three loops (D, anti-codon, and T loops). RNAcentral also lists the same sequence under 7 other names. The record is from RNAcentral.
GGGCCGUUAGCUCAGUUGGUAGAGCAACUGACUUUUAAUCAGUGGGUCACAGGUUCAAAUCCUGUACGGCUCACCA